Molecule: ribosomal RNA, 458 nt
Filed under: uncultured Hymenobacter sp.
Lineage: Bacteria; Pseudomonadati; Bacteroidota; Cytophagia; Cytophagales; Hymenobacteraceae
Description: bacterial SSU rRNA
Rfam family: Bacterial small subunit ribosomal RNA
Source: RNAcentral
CACAAGCGGCGGAGCAUGCGGAUUAAUUCGAUGACAACGCGAAGAACCUUACCAAGGCUUGACAUACACCGGUAACGCCCAGAGAUGGGUGCCCCUUUGUGGUCGGUGUACAGGUGGUGCAUGGUUGUCGUCAGCUCGUGUCGUGAGAUGUUGGGUUAAGCCCCGCAACGAGCGCAACCCUCGUCCUAUGUUGCCAGCGGGUCAUGCCGGGGACUCAUGGGAGACUGCCGGGGUCAACUCGGAGGGAGGUGGGGAUGACGUCAAGUCCUCAUGGCCCUUAUAGGUGGGGCUACACACGUCAUACAAUGGCCGGUACAGAGGGUAGCCAACCCGCGAGGGGGAGCCAAUCCCACAAAGCCGGUCGUAGUCCGGAUCGCAGUCUGCAACUCGACUGCGUGAAGUCGGAAUCGCUAGUAAUCGCGGAUCAGCAUGUCGCGGUGAAUACGUUCCCGGGUCUU